AGUGAACGCUGGCGGUAGGCCUAACACAUGCAAGUCGAACGGCAGCACAGUAAGAGCUUGCUCUUACGGGUGGCGAGUGGCGGACGGGUGAGGAAUACAUCGGAAUCUACUUUUUCGUGGGGGAUAACGUAGGGAAACUUACGCUAAUACCGCAUACGACCUACGGGUGAAAGCAGGGGAUCUUCGGACCUUGCGCGAUUGAAUGAGCCGAUGUCGGAUUAGCUAGUUGGCGGGGUAAAGGCCCACCAAGGCGACGACCCGUAGCUGGUCUGAGAGGAUGAUCAGCCACACUGGAACUGAGACACGGUCCAGACUCCUACGGGAGGCAGCAGUGGGGAAUAUUGGACAAUGGGCGCAAGCCUGAUCCAGCCAUACCGCGUGGGUGAAGAAGGCCUUCGGGUUGUAAAGCCCUUUUGUUGGGAAAGAAAAGCAGCAGGUUAAUACCCCGCUGUUCUGACGGUACCCAAAGAAUAAGCACCGGCUAACCUCGUG
Molecule: ribosomal RNA, 492 nt
Filed under: uncultured bacterium
Lineage: Bacteria
Description: partial 16S ribosomal RNA
Rfam family: Bacterial small subunit ribosomal RNA
Source: RNAcentral